RNAcentral lists this ribosomal RNA (334 nucleotides) under uncultured bacterium. RNAcentral describes it as "bacterial SSU rRNA". It matches the Rfam family "Bacterial small subunit ribosomal RNA", at positions 32 to 359 of the family's 1533-position model. The record is from RNAcentral.
AAUCAACGCUGGCGGCGUGCCUCAGACAUGCAAGUCGAACGAUUAAAGCUCUCUUCGGAGAGUGCAUAGAGUGGCGCACGGGUGAGUAGCACGUAAGUAAUCUGCCUUUGAGUGGGGAUAACAGUCGGAACGAUUGCUAAUACCGCAUAACGCAGCGGCACCGCAAGGUGACAGUUGUUAAGGAGCAAUCCGCUUAAAGAGGAGCUUGCGGCAGAUUAGCUUGUUGGUAAGGUAACGGCUUACCAAGGCUACGAUCUGUAUCCGGUCUAAGAGGACGGUCGGACACACUGACACUGAAUAACGGGUCAGACUCCUACGGGAGGCAGCAGUCGGG